GGGGCUGUAGCUCAGUUGGGAGAGCGCUUGAAUGGCAUUCAAGAGGCCGUGGGUUCGACUCCCAUCAGCUCCACCA
RNAcentral lists this transfer RNA (76 nucleotides) under Deltaproteobacteria bacterium. RNAcentral describes it as "tRNA-Ala". It matches the Rfam family "tRNA". Rfam says of the family: Transfer RNA (tRNA) molecules are approximately 80 nucleotides in length. Lineage: Bacteria; Pseudomonadati; Myxococcota; Myxococcia. RNAcentral also lists the same sequence under 1 other name. The record is from RNAcentral.